Molecule: ribosomal RNA, 110 nt
Filed under: Botryococcus braunii Showa
Lineage: Eukaryota; Viridiplantae; Chlorophyta; Trebouxiophyceae
Source: RNAcentral
CGAUUUUGCAGUGAAGUGAAUUCCACCCGAACCCAUAUCGAACUCGACAGUGAACGCUCUUCACGCCAUAUGUACUGCUCUUUUGCGGGAGACGUGGUAAAGGUCGAGUG